GAGGAGCCGCCGUUAUCCAGCGAAUCGAAAGACGAAGAAAGCGUUGCCUUGGGAACGUCUUCCUCGGGACGUCUCGGAUGGCUCGAACUCUUCAACUUCCGGGACUCGGUGAAGCGAACGUUCUAUUCGUUGCGAAAGGGCUGCGACAGAAAGUAUUGUGUAAGACGCGUUCCCCGGGGGUUUCCUCGUUGCCCACGCAAAGGAACCGGAGGCCAGGCCAGUGAUGGACCACCAGGGAGCCGCCACGCCCCCGGCGGGCCUCGUUUUACCCACGCGAUCUUUGGUGGAGCGCGCGCGUACGCUUCUGCCUGCUUGAACGACUUUAACGCAGAGAGAGGAAAAAGGUGGUGUGGUCGGCGGCACGGCUUAACUAGCGCGCGGAAUCGCGCGAACCAGCCCCGGGGGUUGGGAGAACGAGAACAAAAAAGCCUUGGUAAUCAAAGGAACAGAGGGAACGGAGGGAUGGUUAAGGGGUGAAACAGCGAGAGCGGCAAUGGCGGAUGACGACGUUGACUCGUGGCUUGGUCCAAGGAUCAAGAGGCGUGUCACCCCCGGGGCGAAGAAGCGGUGUCGACGGGAGGAUAAUCGUCGGGUCAUCAGGAAAAACGCAG
RNAcentral lists this unclassified non-coding RNA (611 nucleotides) under Bombus terrestris (buff-tailed bumblebee). RNAcentral's name for it is "misc RNA ENSBTSG00005037915.1". Lineage: Eukaryota; Metazoa; Arthropoda; Insecta; Hymenoptera; Apidae. The record is from RNAcentral.